This 162-nucleotide ribosomal RNA is filed under the name Staphylococcus aureus. RNAcentral's name for it is "partial 16S ribosomal RNA". It matches the Rfam family "Bacterial small subunit ribosomal RNA", at positions 1 to 157 of the family's 1533-position model. Lineage: Bacteria; Bacillati; Bacillota; Bacilli; Caryophanales; Staphylococcaceae. The record is from RNAcentral.
UUUAUGGAGAGUUUGAUCCUGGCUCAGGAUGAACGCUGGCGGCGUGCCUAAUACAUGCAAGUCGAGCGAACGGAUGAGAAGCUUGCUUCUCUAAUGUUAGCGGCGGACGGGUGAGUAACACGUGGAUAACCUACCUAUAAGACUGGGAUAACUUCGGGAAAC